This 460-nucleotide ribosomal RNA is filed under the name uncultured bacterium. RNAcentral describes it as "partial 16S ribosomal RNA". It matches the Rfam family "Bacterial small subunit ribosomal RNA", at positions 338 to 795 of the family's 1533-position model. The record is from RNAcentral.
CCUACGGGUGGCAGCAGUGAGGAAUAUUGGUCAAUGGACGCAAGUCUGAACCAGCCAAGUCGCGUGAAGGAUGACGGCCCUAUGAGUUGUAAACUGCUUUUGUACGAGAGUAAACUCCGGUACGUGUACCGGGUUGAAUGUACUUUAUGAAUAAGGAUCGGCUAACUCCGUGCCAGCAGCCGCGGUAAUACGGAGGAUCCGAGCGUUAUCCGGAUUUAUUGGGUUUAAAGGGUGCGUAGGUGGGUUGGUAAGUUAGUUGUGAAAGUUUGCGGCUCAACCCCAAAACUGCAGUUGAUACUGGUAGACUUGAGUAUAGUUGAGGUAGGCGGAAUGCGUGGUGUAGCGGUGAAAUGCUUAGAUAUCACAAAGAACACCGAUUGCGAAGGCAGCCUACUAAACUGUCACUGACAUUGAGGCACGAAAGCGUGGGUAGCAAACAGGAUUAGAUACCCGAGUAGUC